RNAcentral lists this long non-coding RNA (308 nucleotides) under Homo sapiens (human). RNAcentral describes it as "non-protein coding lnc-KLHL35-5:1". Lineage: Eukaryota; Metazoa; Chordata; Mammalia; Primates; Hominidae. The record is from RNAcentral.
GUCCCCUGGGGCCCUUGGUCUGAUGGGUGUAUGGGAGUGUCUGGGCUGCAAUACAUGAGACAGGACAGUGGUGGAUGUGACAGGUGGCUCGUUCUGUCCUCUUCUUGACAGAUCCCUCCAAACCUUCCAUGUUCUGUGACACUGCAGCCGGGGCCCGAAGACACGGGGAAGGCUUGCGGUGUGGACUAUGAAGUCAAAGCCUUCUGCGCGGAGAAUUUGGAGGAGAAGAUCCACAAGCGGUGAGUAGGAUGCCAGGGUGUGGGCCGCCUGCUGGGUGAGGGAGGGAGACAGGAUGGGCAAAGUCCAAG